GAAGCAUGCAGGUGGGUUGAAUCAAUAGGACCCAUCAAGUUGGUUCAACAACCUGACCAAAUGGAAUCCACUUUUGUAAAUAGAAUUGAAAUUUGACUAGUUCCAAUUCUUUUAUUGAAUUGAACCUGUCCCGCUUGUACAGAUAGAGCUGCAAAUUGGACUUUCUUAAAUCCUUUCAUACUGAAGAUGUUCUGCAUCAAACUACGACCUGCAACUAGGAUUAUGACCUGGAACUUGUUUGCAAUAGUUGCACUC
RNAcentral lists this long non-coding RNA (255 nucleotides) under Elaeis guineensis (African oil palm). RNAcentral's name for it is "long non-coding RNA (EGUI_LNC000292)". The record is from RNAcentral. Lineage: Eukaryota; Viridiplantae; Streptophyta; Magnoliopsida; Arecales; Arecaceae.